UCUGACUGGUGCUAAGGUAGCAUAAUCAUUUGUUAUUUAAUUAAUAACUAGUAUGAAUGGUAACACGAAUUAUUUAUUUUCUUAAUUUAUUUAAAGAAAUUAAUUUAAAAAUUAAAAAGUUUUUGAGCUUUAGAAAGACGACAAGACCCUAAAACCUUUACUAAAAAUUAGUUUUACUGGGGCGGUAAAUAACAUAACGUGUGUUUUAAAUCCAUUUUAAAUGAUUCUAAUUAACCUUUGUAAGAAAAUAAAAAGGUACUUUAGGGAUAACAGAAUAAUUUUUGUAGAGAGUUCUUAUCGGCAUAAAAGUUUUUUACCUCGAUGUUGAAUUGAAUACACCUUAUAAAGCAGAU
Molecule: ribosomal RNA, 353 nt
Filed under: Oroniscus dalmaticus
Lineage: Eukaryota; Metazoa; Arthropoda; Malacostraca; Isopoda; Oniscidae
Description: partial large subunit ribosomal RNA
Rfam family: Bacterial large subunit ribosomal RNA
Source: RNAcentral